AGAGUUAAAUAGUACGUGAAAUUGCUAAAAGGGAAACGAUUGAAAUCAGUGUUGGUUGCAGGGAAUCAACUAGUCAGCAAUGGCUGGUGCACUUCUCUGUAGCCAGGUCAACAUCAGUUUUGGAUGAGGUAAAUUAGUGUAGGAAGGUAGCUCCCUCGGGAGUGUUAUAGCCUGCAUGACUGCCUUGACUGAGACUGAGGACUGCAGUGCAUGCUUUCGGGCAGACGAACCAGGUGCUGCCGGUUGGCUGGGUAGAGACAGCAUGCUGACUCUGCGCAGUCCGUCGGUACCCGCUUGGCUAGUACUAAUGCGCUAAGGAUGUUGACUAAAUGGUUUUAAACGACC
This 345-nucleotide ribosomal RNA is filed under the name uncultured fungus. RNAcentral's name for it is "eukaryotic LSU rRNA". The record is from RNAcentral. Lineage: Eukaryota; Fungi.